RNAcentral lists this ribosomal RNA (331 nucleotides) under uncultured bacterium. RNAcentral's name for it is "bacterial SSU rRNA". It matches the Rfam family "Bacterial small subunit ribosomal RNA", at positions 568 to 899 of the family's 1533-position model. The record is from RNAcentral.
UUCGUAGGCGGUGCGGCAAGUUGGGAGUGAAAUCUCUGGGCUUAACUCAGAGGCUGCUUUCAAAACUGCCGUGCUCGAGUGCGGGAGAGGCCAGUGGAAUUGCAGGUGUAGCGGUGAAAUGCGUAGAUAUCUGCAGGAACACCCGUGGCGAAGGCGGCUGGCUGGACCGCAACUGACGCUGAGGAACGAAAGCUAGGGGAGCAAACAGGAUUAGAUACCCUGGUAGUCCUAGCCCUAAACCAUCAGGACUUGGGGUGGCCCGCGUAGGCGGGUCGUCUCGUAGCUAACGCGUUAAGUCCUGCGCCUGGGGAGUACGGUCGCAAGACUGAAA